This 72-nucleotide transfer RNA is filed under the name Camelus bactrianus (Bactrian camel). It matches the Rfam family "tRNA". Rfam says of the family: Transfer RNA (tRNA) molecules are approximately 80 nucleotides in length. Their secondary structure includes four short double-helical elements and three loops (D, anti-codon, and T loops). Further hydrogen bonds mediate the characteristic L-shaped molecular structure. tRNAs have two regions of fundamental functional importance: the anti-codon, which is responsible for specific mRNA codon recognition, and the 3' end, to which the tRNAs corresponding amino acid is attached (by aminoacyl-tRNA synthetases). tRNAs cope with the degeneracy of the genetic code in two manners: having more than one tRNA (with a specific anti-codon) for a particular amino acid; and 'wobble' base-pairing, i.e. permitting non-standard base-pairing at the 3rd anti-codon position. RNAcentral also lists the same sequence under 2 other names. Lineage: Eukaryota; Metazoa; Chordata; Mammalia; Artiodactyla; Camelidae. The record is from Rfam by way of RNAcentral.
GGAGGCAUAGCUCAGUGGUAGAGUGCAUGUGUAGCGUGCACAAGGUCCUGGGUUCAAUCCCCAAUACCUCCA